This 63-nucleotide transfer RNA is filed under the name Goniodes ortygis. RNAcentral describes it as "tRNA-Pro". The record is from RNAcentral. Lineage: Eukaryota; Metazoa; Arthropoda; Insecta; Psocodea; Philopteridae.
CAGGAAAUAGUUUAUAUAAAACUUUGGCUUUGGGGGCCAUUAAACCUCAGUUUGGUUUCCUGA